Non-coding RNA from Brachypodium distachyon (stiff brome), 141 nucleotides. The record is from Rfam. NCBI's taxonomy places the organism in Eukaryota, Viridiplantae, Streptophyta, Magnoliopsida, Poales, Poaceae.
AGGAUAAGAGGCACCCAGGCUAGCCAAGGAGACUGCCUGUGAUAAAUCGAGAUCACAUGCAUAUAUGAAAUUAUGCAAGCGAUCAAGGGAGGACAUGCACAGGCAAGUCAUCCUUGGCUAUCAGGGCCAAACCCCUUAUCA